RNAcentral lists this ribosomal RNA (460 nucleotides) under uncultured bacterium. RNAcentral describes it as "partial 16S ribosomal RNA". It matches the Rfam family "Bacterial small subunit ribosomal RNA", at positions 338 to 795 of the family's 1533-position model. The record is from RNAcentral.
CCUACGGGUGGCAGCAGUGAGGAAUAUUGGUCAAUGGACGAGAGUCUGAACCAGCCAAGUAGCGUGAAGGAUGACUGCCCUAUGGGUUGUAAACUUCUUUUAUAUGGGAAUAAAAUGUUCCACUUGUGGGAUUUUGUAUGUACCAUAUGAAUAAGGAUCGGCUAACUCCGUGCCAGCAGCCGCGGUAAUACGGAGGAUCCGAGCGUUAUCCGGAUUUAUUGGGUUUAAAGGGAGCGUAGGUGGACUGUUAAGUCAGUUGUGAAAGUUUGGGGCUCAACCGUAAAAUUGCAGUUGAAACUGGCAGUCUUGAGUACAGGAGAGGUGGGCGGAAUUCGUGGUGUAGCGGUGAAAUGCUUAGAUAUCACGAAGAACUCCGAUUGCGAAGGCAGUUCACUGGACUGCAACUGACGCUGAGGCUCGAAAGUGUGGGUAUCAAACAGGAUUAGAUACCCGGGUAGUC